This 494-nucleotide ribosomal RNA is filed under the name Bacteroides pyogenes. RNAcentral describes it as "bacterial SSU rRNA". It matches the Rfam family "Bacterial small subunit ribosomal RNA", at positions 9 to 490 of the family's 1533-position model. Lineage: Bacteria; Pseudomonadati; Bacteroidota; Bacteroidia; Bacteroidales; Bacteroidaceae. The record is from RNAcentral.
GAGUUUGAUUAUGGCUCAGGAUGAACGCUAGCUACAGGCUUAACACAUGCAAGUCGAGGGGCAGCAUGAAUAUUGGCUUGCCAAUAUUUGAUGGCGACCGGCGCACGGGUGAGUAACACGUAUCCAACCUUCCGGUUACUCGGGGAUAGGCUUUCGAAAGAAAGAUUAAUACCCGAUGUUGUGUAUCUUUCUCCUGAUUGAUACGCCAAAGGAUUCCGGUAACCGAUGGGGAUGCGUUCCAUUAGGCAGUUGGCGGGGUAACGGCCCACCAAACCUUCGAUGGAUAGGGGUUCUGAGAGGAAGGUCCCCCACAUUGGAACUGAGACACGGUCCAAACUCCUACGGGAGGCAGCAGUGAGGAAUAUUGGUCAAUGGACGGAAGUCUGAACCAGCCAAGUAGCGUGAAGGAUGACUGCCCUCUGGGUUGUAAACUUCUUUUAUACGGGAAUAACAUGAGGUACGGGUACCUUAUGGCAUGUAACCGUAUGAAUAAG